Molecule: long non-coding RNA, 534 nt
Filed under: Pongo abelii (Sumatran orangutan)
Lineage: Eukaryota; Metazoa; Chordata; Mammalia; Primates; Hominidae
Description: lincRNA
Source: RNAcentral
GUAGCAGCGGGCGGCAGCCGCCGAGGCAGCAAUGUCAGGAGGGCACAGCUGGAGGAGGCGGCCGCCAAAGCCACUACCCCGCCCCCAGGAAGAUUUGGAAAAGAGGCACUGGCUACUGGAGGAAGGGAGAAAUCACCAAGAGAGCGAAAGAUGUAACAGAAACAGACUCUUGUUCUGUCACCCAUACUUGGAGUGUAGUGGUACAAUGAUAGCUCACUGCAGCCUCAAACUCCUGGGCUCAAGCAUUCCUCCCACCUCAGCCUCCCAGAUGCAGUGACUCAUGCCUAUAAUCCCAGUACUUUGGAAGGUCAAGGCGGAAGGAUCCGUUGAGGCCAGGAGUCCAAGACCAGCCUGCACAACGUAGCAAGACUCCUUCUCUACAAAAAUAAAAAUAAAAAUUAGCCAGGCAUGGUGGUGCACUCCUGUAGUCCCAGCUACUCAGAGGCUGAUGCAGAGGAUCACAUUAUCCCGGAGGUCAAGGCUGCAGUGAGCCGUGAUCAUGCCUCUGCACUCCAGCCCGGGUGAUAGAGCAAG